GAUGAACGCUGGCGGCGUGCCUAAUACAUGCAAGUCGAGCGAACAGACGCGGCGCUUGCUCCUCUGACGUUAGCGGCGGACGGGUGAGUAACACGUGGAUAACCUACCUAUCAGACUGGGAUCACUUCGGGACACCGGCGCUAAUACCGGAUAAUAUCUUGAACCGCGUGGUUCAAUAGUGAAAUACGGUUUUGCUGUCACUUAUCGAUGGUUCCGCGCCGCAUUAGCUAGUUGGUAAGGUAACGGGUUACCAAGGCAACGAUGCGUAGACGACCUGAGAGGGUGAUCGGCGACACUGGAACGUAGACACGGUCCAGACGACUACGGGAGGCAGCAGUAGGGAAUCUGCCGCAGUGGGCGGAAGCAUGACGGAGCGACGUCGCGUGAGUGAUGAAGGUGUUCGGAUCGGAAUACUCUGUUAUGAGGGAAGAACAAAUGUGUAAGUAACUAUGCACGUCUUGACGGUACCUAAUCAGAAAGCCACGGCUAACUACGUG
RNAcentral lists this ribosomal RNA (497 nucleotides) under uncultured bacterium. RNAcentral describes it as "partial 16S ribosomal RNA". It matches the Rfam family "Bacterial small subunit ribosomal RNA", at positions 28 to 507 of the family's 1533-position model. The record is from RNAcentral.